GUUUGUUUUUGUGUACUACUUAUUUCUUUGGCAUUUUGGCUUGUCAAAAUUCUUGUCCCAGCACAAGUGGUCCCAGCACUUUGCUCUGUCUUAGUGAUCUUCUGUUCAUUUGCCUGCAGGUUUGUGCUGGCUAACUGUAAGCCAAAUGGUGAGAUUCACAAAUUGAAAAAGUGAAGUCCUGUGAUCAGUCUCUUCAUCACUCUUAUAACGUUUGCUUUAACUAUAGAAGAAGGCACCAAGAAAAAAUAAUGUUCUGAAUGUGACAUCAUAAAGCUGAAAUGUAGGUAUGACAUCAGACUCUCACAUCAGCACUGGGUGGUCUAAGCAGAGCAGCGGAGGAACCUCAAGCUCAUGCAUAAGGAGAGAUGCGAGGAAGGGGUCCGCCUUUUGAGAACAACAGCGAUACAGUUUAAACUUAGCAACUCUCUAGGUAACACUGCCAAUUCUGCUUUGACAAUUAUUGAUGAAGGAAAGCGUCCCAAAGCAAGACCAGAAGGUGCUAGAUGCCCUGCAUCAUGGAGGUGA
Molecule: long non-coding RNA, 525 nt
Filed under: Anser brachyrhynchus (Pink-footed goose)
Lineage: Eukaryota; Metazoa; Chordata; Aves; Anseriformes; Anatidae
Description: lncRNA (ENSABRG00000003101.1)
Source: RNAcentral